Molecule: transfer RNA, 77 nt
Filed under: Candidatus Peribacter riflensis
Lineage: Bacteria; Candidatus Peregrinibacteriota; Candidatus Peribacteria; Candidatus Peribacterales
Also listed under: 4 other names
Description: tRNA-Ile
Rfam family: tRNA
About the family: Transfer RNA (tRNA) molecules are approximately 80 nucleotides in length.
Source: RNAcentral
GGGCGAUUAGCUCAGCUGGUUAGAGCGCGACACUGAUAAUGUCGAGGUCAGUGGUUCAAGUCCACUAUCGCCCACCA